Molecule: ribosomal RNA, 112 nt
Filed under: Caerostris darwini
Lineage: Eukaryota; Metazoa; Arthropoda; Arachnida; Araneae; Araneidae
Source: RNAcentral
AACGGCCAUACCAUGCUGAAUAUACCGGUUCUCGUUAGAUCACCGAAGUCAAGCAUCAUUGGGCGCGGUCAGUACUUGGGUGAGUGACCACCUGGGAACACCGUGUGCCGUU